UCCCUGGUGGUCAAGUGGUUGGGACUCUGCACUUCCACUGCAGGGGGCCCAGGUUUGAUUCCUGGUUGGGGAA
Molecule: transfer RNA, 73 nt
Filed under: Bos taurus (domestic cattle)
Lineage: Eukaryota; Metazoa; Chordata; Mammalia; Artiodactyla; Bovidae
Also listed under: 3 other names
Rfam family: tRNA
About the family: Transfer RNA (tRNA) molecules are approximately 80 nucleotides in length. Their secondary structure includes four short double-helical elements and three loops (D, anti-codon, and T loops).
Source: Rfam by way of RNAcentral